UCAGGUUACCAGUCUUUAACAUGCAGUAAUACCAUGCUCAACAGUAGUAUUCAGUACUGUCCAGUACUUAUCUGAGAAAAAAAAUAAAAUAAAAUUGGGGGAAAAAAACAAAAAAAAAACAAAACAAAAAAAAAAAACCCACAGCUUUUAAGAUUCAGCGCAAACAGUGCACUCCAUAUAGAUCUUGUACAAUUUCACAAUACAGUCUCUGAAACUAAAAAUCCACUUCGUUGAGCAAACAAAGAAAGCUUAAGCAUUUUAGUUUCACUUUCAGUGUCAAGUCCUUAACCAUAAGGCACAAAUAAGGCCAAGUUACAGGACAGAUGUGCAUGAAGUCAUCUACGUUUUAAAGCAACAGUCCCAUUACAGUUUGACCCCAAGAAAUGUGGAUUUUGAAUUAUUUUCAGAAGCACCCAGAGUAACAAAUCUAAAAGCAAUAGUAUUUAUAAGGUUUAUUAAAUGGCUGAAAUGCAUGUUUAUGCCGUUGACAUUCACCGCUUAGUAUCCAGCCUGAAAGACAAGAGCGCAACAUUAGUCCAAGUUACAUGAUGUAGAUGAUUGUAGAUCAAUUAUAAAUAAAAACAUUUUGCAAACAUACCUAUGCAUAGACUCUGUGGGCAGAAGAGGGUUGCCCAGCCCCACCUGGUCUAUAACCAGGCAAAUUCACAGGGGGUCUGGAGUCUCUGAAGCCCUGGGGACCUGGGAAGGUUGCUACCUGCUGGCCAGGAGGGGGAGAAGGGAGAGCGUGUUCUUUCAAGUAGUGAUUGUCUUGCCAGAAGUCUCGGCCCUGCUCGUAGUUCUGGCUGAAGUGACUGACUGUGCCAGGUGGGUACUGGCCGGUCAGGAACCUGUAGUCAUAGUAGGGAUAAGGAUGACCAAAGAAUCCCCCAAGGUCAACGGGUGGAAAGGGAUAAGAAGGGUAUCCAGGGCCAAGAGGCACAUCGAAAGGGUGGCCAGUUGGGUAGCCCAUUUCUUCCCUCUCCGACUGGCUCGCCCCAUUUUCAGCGUUUCUCUCAAAAUGGGAUAGCUCUCCCGCCUGGUACGAUAGUUCGGGCAGUGGAGGUAAAAUCACACUCGUCUCACCAGGUCUACUGGAUCCAAGGUCACCAGUGGCAGCUGACGCGCCUUGACUUCCAGAGGAUAAACUGGGAGGUUUUACAAGCCAAUCCACUUCUGAACAAGAGCAAGGCAGAGAAAUAGCAUUAAAAUCAUACGCAAUUAUUUUGAUUGCCCAUCAAAUUUUAAGUUACCGAUUGUAGAACUGUGCAUUAUUAGAGUUGUUACCAGGCGGAGGAGGACCACCAGACUGUGUAGAGCUGACGGAGUAUCCCGGCUGGCCAGGUCUAGAACUGGAGCCGGCUGAUCCCGCUGCCUCGCUCUGAACAGCAGGCUGAGAGUAACUAGCAUCUGGGGGGGAGGCAUCUCUAGAGGGAGCAAUGAUGGGUGCAGCAAGUCCACCUGGGUAAUAGGCAUGAUGCACUCCCAGGUUAGACGGAAAAUUAGCAGCAUUCAAGCCGCUGCCGCUUUGGGGAGGACUAGGAUUUUGGCCUAGGCACAAGAGGACACAAGUUAGUCAGAAGAUUCAACUACACAGUCAGUGUUUUCGAGGAGCAGAUGACAGCCCACCUUUCUUAACAGGAACACAGCAUAUAUCCGCAAUCAGCACAACAAAAAGGGAAACCCUGAAACACAAGACACCAGGAUCAGCAGGGAUUUUCUACGCUCCACCAAACAGGCCAUUUCAAAGCCAGAUUGUGACAUACCCCAAGAAGAACCGUGCAGUCGUCAUUG
Molecule: long non-coding RNA, 1791 nt
Organism: Amphiprion ocellaris (clown anemonefish)
Lineage: Eukaryota; Metazoa; Chordata; Actinopteri; Pomacentridae
Source: Ensembl